CUACGUGCCAGCAGCCGCGGUAAUACGUAGGUGGCAAGCGUUGUCCGGAAUUAUUGGGCGUAAAGCGCGCGCAGGCGGAUCAGUCAGUCUGUCUUAAAAGUUCGGGGCUUAACCCCGUGAUGGGAUGGAAACUACUGAUCUAGAGUAUCGGAGAGGAAAGUGGAAUUCCUAGUGUAGCGGUGAAAUGCGUAGAUAUUAGGAAGAACACCAGUGGCGAAGGCGACUUUCUGGACGAAAACUGACGCUGAGGCGCGAAAGCCAGGGGAGCGAACGGGAUUAGAUACCCCGGUAGUCCUGGCCGUAAACGAUGGGUACUAGGUGUAGGAGGUAUCGACCCCUUCUGUGCCGGAGUUAACGCAAUAAGUACCCCGCCUGGGGAGUACGACCGCAAGGUUGAAACUCAAAGGAAUUGACGGGGGCCCGCACAAGCGGUGGAGUAUGUGGUUUAAUUCGACGCAACGCGAAGAACCUUACCAGGUCU
This 481-nucleotide ribosomal RNA is filed under the name uncultured bacterium. RNAcentral's name for it is "bacterial SSU rRNA". It matches the Rfam family "Bacterial small subunit ribosomal RNA", at positions 501 to 981 of the family's 1533-position model. The record is from RNAcentral.